AUACGAAGGGAGCUAGCGUUGUUGGGAAUUACUGGGCGUAAAGCGCACGUAGGCGGACUUGUUAGUCAGGGGUGAAAUCCCGGGGCCCAACCUCGGAACUGCCUUUGAUACUGCAAGUCUGGAGUCCGGAAGAGGUGGGUGGAAUUCCUAGUGUAGAGGUGAAAUUCGUAGAUAUUAGGAAGAACACCGGUGGCGAAGGCGGCCCACUGGUCCGGUACUGACGCUGAGGUGCGAAAGCGUGGGGAGCAAACAGGAUUAGAAACCCCUGUAGUCC
Molecule: ribosomal RNA, 274 nt
Filed under: uncultured bacterium
Lineage: Bacteria
Description: partial 16S ribosomal RNA
Rfam family: Bacterial small subunit ribosomal RNA
Source: RNAcentral